Long non-coding RNA from Melanotaenia boesemani (Boeseman's rainbowfish), 90 nucleotides. RefSeq lists it as uncharacterized. The record is from RefSeq and is a predicted model, not a curated record. The transcript has 3 exons. Lineage: Eukaryota; Metazoa; Chordata; Actinopteri; Atheriniformes; Melanotaeniidae.
GUUUUUAUCAUAAUAAAGAGCCAAUGCUCACUUGGGUUUUCUUUCAGAUGAUCAUUUUAGUUGUAAUACUCAGUUCAAUAUUACAUAAAA